CAGUAGCCACGGUAAUACGGAGGGGGCUAGCGUUGUUCGGAAUUACUGGGCGUAAAGCGCACGUAGGCGGAUAUUUAAGUCAGGGGUGAAAUCCCGCAGCUCAACUGCGGAACUGCCUUUGAUACUGGGUAUCUUGAGUAUGGAAGAGGUUAGUGGAAUUGCGAGUGUAGAGGUGAAAUUCGUAGAUAUUCGCAGGAACACCAGUGGCGAAGGCGGCUAACUGGUCCAUAACUGACGCUGAGGUGCGAAAGCGUGGGGAGCAAACAGGAUUAGAUACCCCUGUAGUCCCUGUCUCUUAUAC
RNAcentral lists this ribosomal RNA (301 nucleotides) under uncultured bacterium. Its description in RNAcentral is "partial 16S ribosomal RNA". It matches the Rfam family "Bacterial small subunit ribosomal RNA", at positions 509 to 807 of the family's 1533-position model. The record is from RNAcentral.